CAGCACGGANCUUGCUCUGGNGGCGAGUGGCGAACGGGUGAGUAANGCGUCGGAACGUAUCCAAUAAUGGGGGAUAACGCAGCGAAAGCUGUGCUAAUACCGCAUACGCCCUCCGGGGGAAAGCAGGGGAUCUUAGGACCUUGCGUUAAUGGAGCGGCCGACGUCUGAUUAGCUAGUUGGUAGGGUAAAGGCCUACCAAGGCGACGAUCAGUAGCUGGUCUGAGAGGAUGAUCAGCCACACUGGGACUGAGACACGGCCCAGACUCCUACGGGAGGCAGCAGUGGGGAAUUUUGGACAAUGGGCGCAAGCCUGAUCCAGCCAUUCCGCGUGAGUGAAGAAGGCCUUCGGGUUGUAAAGCUCUUUCAGGAGGGAAGAAACGAUUGUGGCUAAUACCCAUGAUUAAUGACGGUACCUUCAGAAGAAGCACCGGCUAACUACGUGCCAGCAGCCGCGGUAAUACGUAGGGUGCGAGCGUUAAUCGGAAUUACUGGGCGUAAAGCGUGCGCAGGCGGUUUUUCAAGUCUGAUGUGAAAUCCCCGGGCUUAACCUGGGAACUGNNNNGNAAACUGAAAGACUAGAGUGCGGCAGAGGGGGGUAGAAUUCCACGUGUAGCAGUGAAAUGCGUAGAUAUGUGGAGGAAUACCGAUGGCGAAGGCAGCCCCCUGGGUCGACACUGACGCUCAUGCACGAAAGCGUGGGUAGCAAACAGGAUUANAUACCCUGGUAGUCCACGCCCUAAACGAUGUCAACUAGUUGUUGGGGAGGGAGANCUCCUUAGUAACGCAGCUAACGCGUGAAGUNGANCGCCCUGGGGA
This 816-nucleotide ribosomal RNA is filed under the name uncultured bacterium. RNAcentral describes it as "bacterial SSU rRNA". It matches the Rfam family "Bacterial small subunit ribosomal RNA", at positions 70 to 879 of the family's 1533-position model. The record is from RNAcentral.